RNAcentral lists this ribosomal RNA (252 nucleotides) under uncultured bacterium. Its description in RNAcentral is "partial 16S ribosomal RNA". It matches the Rfam family "Bacterial small subunit ribosomal RNA", at positions 524 to 776 of the family's 1533-position model. The record is from RNAcentral.
UACGUAGGGGGCAAGCGUUGUCCGGAUUUAUUGGGCGUAAAGAGCGUGUAGGCGGCCAAGCAGGUCCGCUGUGAAAACUCGAGGCUCAACCUCGAGACGUCGGUGGAAACCGUUUGGCUAGAGUCCGGAAGAGGAGAGUGGAAUUCCCGGUGUAGCGGUGAAAUGCGCAGAUAUCGGGAAGAACACCCGUGGCGAAGGCGGCUCUCUGGACGGUACUGACGCUGAGACGCGAAAGCGUGGGGAGCGAACAGG